This 253-nucleotide ribosomal RNA is filed under the name uncultured bacterium. Its description in RNAcentral is "partial 16S ribosomal RNA". It matches the Rfam family "Bacterial small subunit ribosomal RNA", at positions 524 to 776 of the family's 1533-position model. The record is from RNAcentral.
UACAGAGGUCUCAAGCGUUGUUCGGAUUCAUUGGGCGUAAAGGGUGCGUAGGCGGCGCGGUAAGUCGGGUGUGAAAUCUCGGAGCUUAACUCCGAAACUGCAUUCGAUACUGCCGUGCUUGAGGACUGGAGAGGAGACUGGAAUUUACGGUGUAGCGGUGAAAUCCGUAGAUCUACGAAGGAACGCCAAAAGCGAAGGCAGCUCUCUGGGUCCCUACCGACGCUGGGGUGCGAAAGCAUGGGGAGCGAACAGG